UCUGCAACUCGACUACAUGAAGCUGGAAUCGCUAGUAAUCGCGGAUCAGAAUGCCGCGGUGAAUACGUUCCCGGGUCUUGUACACACCGCCCGUCACACCAUGGGAGUCAGUAACGCCCGAAGCCGGUGACCUAACCGAAAGGGAGGAGCCGUCGAAGGUGGGACCGAUAACUGGGGUGAAGUCGUAACAAGGUAAC
Molecule: ribosomal RNA, 197 nt
Filed under: uncultured bacterium
Lineage: Bacteria
Description: partial 16S ribosomal RNA
Rfam family: Bacterial small subunit ribosomal RNA
Source: RNAcentral